CGUCUUCGGGGCAGGGUGCGAUUCCCUACCGGCGGUCACAGUCCGCGAACCGGCCUAUCCGGCCGGCCGACGAGGUGGAACUCCUCGACCGACAGUACAGUCUGGAAGAGAGAAGAC
Molecule: non-coding RNA, 117 nt
Filed under: bovine gut metagenome
Description: FMN riboswitch (RFN element)
Rfam family: FMN riboswitch aptamer (RFN element)
About the family: The RFN element is a highly conserved domain that is found frequently in the 5'-untranslated regions of prokaryotic mRNAs that encode for flavin mononucleotide (FMN) biosynthesis and transport proteins.
Source: RNAcentral